RNAcentral lists this non-coding RNA (233 nucleotides) under uncultured Anaerobutyricum sp. Lineage: Bacteria; Bacillati; Bacillota; Clostridia; Lachnospirales; Lachnospiraceae. The record is from RNAcentral.
CAUUUUUGAUGUCCGAUUAUACUGUCGGGAUAAUAGGGAACCAGGUGAAAAUCCUGGACGAUCCGGUCACUGUAAGCAGUUAUCACAUCUGUGGAUACCAUUGUACGAAAAGGCAAUUUUGCCUGGUGUAUGAGAAGGUGCAGAUUAAGGGAUAGGUUGGAGAAUACGACUCCAUCUAUCUGUGGGAUUCUUGGGAAUCCAAGCUGUAAGUCAGGAAACCUGCUGAGGAAUGU